GCUUCUGUAGCUUAGUCGGUAGAGCACUACCUUGGUAAGGUAGAGGUCGGGAGUUCAAGACUCCCCAGAAGCU
RNAcentral lists this transfer RNA (73 nucleotides) under Promethearchaeota archaeon. Its description in RNAcentral is "Candidatus Lokiarchaeota archaeon (microbial mat metagenome) tRNA-Thr". It matches the Rfam family "tRNA". From Rfam's summary of the family: Transfer RNA (tRNA) molecules are approximately 80 nucleotides in length. Lineage: Archaea; Promethearchaeati; Promethearchaeota. The record is from RNAcentral.